RNAcentral lists this ribosomal RNA (405 nucleotides) under uncultured bacterium. Its description in RNAcentral is "partial 16S ribosomal RNA". It matches the Rfam family "Bacterial small subunit ribosomal RNA", at positions 30 to 525 of the family's 1533-position model. The record is from RNAcentral.
AUUGAACGCUGGCGGCAGGCCUAACACAUGCAAGUCGAGCGAGCGGCGGACUGGUGAGUAAUGUCUGGGCAACUGCCUGAUGGAGUGGGAUAACUACUGGAAACGGUAGCUACUACCGCAUACCCUCAGUUGUGCCCAGAUGGGAUUAGCUAGUAGGUGGGGUAACGGCUCACCUAGGCGCCGAUCCCUAGCUGGUCUGAGAGGAUGACCAGACACACUGGAACUGAGACACGGGCCAGACUCCUACGGGAGGCAGCAGUGGGGAAUAUUGCACAAUGGGCGCAAGCAUGAUGCAGCCAUGCCGCGUGUGUGAAGAAGGCCUGCGGGUUGUAAAGCACUUUCAGCGGGGAGGCGUUACCCGCAGAAGAAGCACCGGCUAACUCCGUGCCAGCAGCCGCGGUAAUA